UUAUUCAAUGAUUGUUUCAUGUCUUAUCUUUCUAUUUUCUUCUAUUAUCACAUCAUCUUUAAUCCUUUCUUUUUGGCUUUAGCUUUAGCUUUGGCUUUGGCUUUGGCUUUGGACUACCAAGAUCAUGCGACGAUCUUUUAUUCGGAUCGAUUUCUGUGAUCUUUCUCGGAUCGAAAUAUUCAUGAUCUUUCUCGGAUCAAAGUGGCCAUGGUCUUUCUCGGAUCAAAUCAUUCAUGAUCUUUCUCGGAUCAGAUUCUUCAUGAUCUUUCUCGGAUCAUAUUCUUUCACACAUAAGCCUGUGAGGGCUGUCCCAGGCAUAAGCUCCUGGCAAGCUAUUCCACAUGACAAGGCCAGUCCAAACCAUAUUUCUCUUUCUUUUUCAUUUUCAUGAAAUUAUAAUAUUUGACUUCAUUAAUCAAUUCAAAUUUUGCAAUGUAAU
Molecule: long non-coding RNA, 439 nt
Filed under: Elaeis guineensis (African oil palm)
Lineage: Eukaryota; Viridiplantae; Streptophyta; Magnoliopsida; Arecales; Arecaceae
Description: long non-coding RNA (EGUI_LNC076981)
Source: RNAcentral